CCUACGGGAGGCAGCAGUGGGGAAUAUUGGGCAAUGGGCGCAAGCCUGACCCAGCAACGCCGCGUGAAGGAAGAAGGCUUUCGGGUUGUACACUUCUUUUGUCAGGGACGAAGCACGUGACGGUACCUGACUAAUAAGCCACGGCUAACUACGUGCCAGCAGCCGCGGUAAUACGUAGGGGGCAAGCGUUAUCCGGAUUUACUGGGUGUAAAGGGCGUGUAGGCGGGACUGCAAGUCAGAUGUGAAAACCACGGGCUCAACCUAUGGCCUGCAUUUGAAACUGUAGUUCUUGAGUACUGGAGAGGCAGACGGAAUGCCUAGUGUAGCGGUGAAAUACGUAGAUAUGAGGAGGAACACCAGUGGCGAAGGCGGGCUGCUGGACAGCUACUGACGCUGAGGCGCGAAAGCGUGGGGAGCAAACAGGAUUAGAUACCCUAGUAGUC
This 443-nucleotide ribosomal RNA is filed under the name uncultured bacterium. RNAcentral describes it as "partial 16S ribosomal RNA". It matches the Rfam family "Bacterial small subunit ribosomal RNA", at positions 338 to 795 of the family's 1533-position model. The record is from RNAcentral.